UGUUUACUCUUGUCAUAAAUUUGACUUUGUUUGCUCUUGUCAUAAAUUUUACUUAUAUUUAAUUAAUUUUCACUUCAUUAAGCCUUGCUGGAGUAUAAAAUAAAAUAUGAAAUGCACCUAUGUUUGCAGGUUUUCAGAGAAGAGACAGAGUUCCUUUCCAGCUUCAGCUGUCUUUUAAAACUCGAGAUUUAAAAAAGUCACCAGAGUCAUCACUCAGCAGAAGCGUGUGACCACUAGCAGCUGGGUGUGGGCAGGGAGCCUGAACAUGGCUGUUUUGGGUGUUCACUGUGCCCAGCUAUGUGCCCGCCUCACCAUGGAGGGCAGGAUCCAGGAAGCUCAAAGUCAACUCAAAGCCCAGCAGGACCUCCUCAGAGACAUCAGUGAACAGAAGCCAAGUCCUAAAGAAGAGAGUAUCUAUGGAAAUUGGAUCAGUACCAUGAGUAUGAUCUGUGAAGACCUGAACCCUGAUACAAAGGCUAACAGAAG
Molecule: long non-coding RNA, 486 nt
Organism: Tachysurus vachellii
Lineage: Eukaryota; Metazoa; Chordata; Actinopteri; Siluriformes; Bagridae
Exons: 4
Source: RefSeq, a predicted model, not a curated record